Molecule: transfer RNA, 70 nt
Filed under: Actinomyces naeslundii
Lineage: Bacteria; Bacillati; Actinomycetota; Actinomycetes; Actinomycetales; Actinomycetaceae
Also listed under: 30 other names
Rfam family: tRNA
About the family: Transfer RNA (tRNA) molecules are approximately 80 nucleotides in length. Their secondary structure includes four short double-helical elements and three loops (D, anti-codon, and T loops). Further hydrogen bonds mediate the characteristic L-shaped molecular structure. tRNAs have two regions of fundamental functional importance: the anti-codon, which is responsible for specific mRNA codon recognition, and the 3' end, to which the tRNAs corresponding amino acid is attached (by aminoacyl-tRNA synthetases). tRNAs cope with the degeneracy of the genetic code in two manners: having more than one tRNA (with a specific anti-codon) for a particular amino acid; and 'wobble' base-pairing, i.e. permitting non-standard base-pairing at the 3rd anti-codon position.
Source: RNAcentral
CGGAUGUGGCUCAGUUGGUAGAGCAUCACCUUGCCAAGGUGAGGGUCGCGGGUUCGAGUCCCGUCAUCCG